AUAAACGCAAUGAAUGGGAGUAGUAAAAGUUUUUUCGUAGAUUCAGAGAGCUGCGGGUUGGUGCAACGCAGUCUAUAAACACUUUGAACUCGCCCAGGAGCAGCAAGAUGGAACGGAGUGGAAGUUCCCUAUAUUUUGACGAAUAACCUACGUUAUAAGGUAUACGAGCAGGAUUCGAAAAGAAUCAACAAGAGUGGUACCGCGGUUUGCCUAAGAAGCUUAUCGUCUCUUUU
RNAcentral lists this non-coding RNA (233 nucleotides) under Priestia endophytica. Its description in RNAcentral is "Bacillus endophyticus T-box sequence". It matches the Rfam family "T-box leader". Rfam says of the family: Uncharged tRNA acts as the effector for transcription antitermination of genes in the T-box leader family. T-boxes are found upstream of many aminoacyl-tRNA synthetase genes and some amino acid biosynthetic genes usually in Gram-positive bacteria. The anticodon of a specific tRNA base pairs to a specifier sequence within the T-box motif, and the NCCA acceptor tail of the tRNA base pairs to a conserved bulge in the T-box antiterminator hairpin. Lineage: Bacteria; Bacillati; Bacillota; Bacilli; Caryophanales; Bacillaceae. The record is from RNAcentral.